Long non-coding RNA from Etheostoma spectabile (orangethroat darter), 326 nucleotides. RefSeq lists it as uncharacterized. Lineage: Eukaryota; Metazoa; Chordata; Actinopteri; Perciformes; Percidae. The transcript is spliced from 3 exons. The record is from RefSeq and is a predicted model, not a curated record.
UGACACUUCUCAUAGCCUUCCCAAGGAAGCAACCACUUGACGGGCUCGGCUGCUGUUUAAGGAGAUCCCAGGGAACGUUUUCACCAAAGACAGUUUUCAAAACUUUGGACAAUUUAAAGCAGGAUUUGCUAAGCUGCUGUUGCUGUUCCGACUGUCUGGUCAUCCCAACCACAAGCUAGCAACGCUAUGUCACAAGGACAAGAUGCGAAAGAUGCAGCUUGCCAAACAGAUGCUCCGAGUGUGUCAUCUCGGGGGACACAACUGUCUCAUAAGACAUCAAGACCGCACAUAUCAUACAAGCCACAACGGAAGACAGCCAAGGGGAA